AAAGAUUAAAAAUAUUUUAUUUACACUUUCUUUUAUACACAUUUUAUACAGUUUUUCAGUUUGAAACCCGAACAGAGCGCAUAUGCAAGUCUGAGCAUACUGUCUCCACAGCUAGGGAAAAUUACUUUUUGCCAAGAAAAGACAAGAAAAAAGGCUUUAAAACAGUUAAAAAGAGGCAAUUCUUAAAUUAUUCAGAGAAGUUUAUAGCAGCCCUGGGGUAAUCAUUAGACAAUUAAUCCAAAUGUACAUAUGAGGUCAUAUAUAUAUUUUUAAUUUUCUAUAGGAAAAGUAUUUCCAAUUGCUAAACACAAACACAGUACAGUCUGAAAAUAACUUUUCCCAUUAACUUAUCAAAUACUUAUCAAAUACAUUCUUUGCAAUGCAAACAAUCUGAUAUUGUACACUGGACUCAAGUGGGAUACUAUAGUGGAAUUGCAAACUCCAGCAUAUAAUAAUUUAUUUUAAAAAGAUCUACAAAAAUAACAAUAUAUAGGGAAAAAUUUUUAAAAUAAAAACAUAGCUCACUCUUCCCUUCACCUGUUCCCAGAACUGACAUAAAAGUUAGGUGGGUCCCACUGAGGUAAUAAAAGCCCCCUAAGAAUAGCUAACUUUACAGUCCUACAUAACACUUUAUUUUCUAGACUUACAAUAAGGUUUUCGACCAGAGCCAUAAAUAAAAACUACCAUCUGCAAAUAGAAGUGGUCUUCCCCCAGCUACCAACUUAAUAUUACUCCAAAGGUAUUUGAAAUUCAGCUUUAAAAGUUAUUUUUAAAAGACUAUAUAAACAUCAUUUGAAAUUUGGGAAGUGGAAAAAAAAUAACAGAGGGAAAUCACGGAAAGCAUGCUCAAAACCAGCCAGUUUUUCUGCCACCUGUCACAUACAACUACGUUUUAUGAAGUUUACCCACACAAACUGGAAUUUUAAAGUUUCUCACCAACUUUCAAAAAUAGAAUACAGAUGUGAAAGUAGUCAUUAGUAUUCAUUUUAAGCAGCUUCAGACUGGUUUACAAACAUUAAAUCUGAAAAUGUUAGCUACAGGACACUGACAAGCUUUGUUUUAAAUAGAUGACAGGUUUUCCAGUUAUAUUCUUUCCCACUCUCCUUCAGCGAGCCCUGCCACAUAUGAUGGACCAUGCUUAGUCAUGCAACUUCACCAGCUACAUAUUUAUUAAUGGAAGAAGAGCAGGACAGAUGUUUUCUUGGAUGCCCCCAACCUCAUAAACACUUAAGCACAGGUUUAAUAACAUUUGCACUUUUAAGUUUUCUUAUAAGUACCUUACAAUUUUCUGUUCUCUUUGUAUUGGACUGUUCACAUCUGUGAAGUACGCAUUUGAAGUGUUAAAAGAAUCAGGGUCUCGAUUCACUAUUUUAUUUUUUUAAAGGAAAAAGAUAUUUAAAAGGCAAAAUACCUCUACGAAUGUGACUACUUCUAAAAAGACUUUGUCACAUAAAUGCCGACACAGCUUGAAGUUCAUUCUUAAAAAGCUGUUACCAUCUCCCCAUAAUGCUUUUGUUGAAGAACGGACAUAAUGAGUAAAGCAAUGCUGUUUUAACUGAUUUGAAUUUGUACCUGCUGAAUUUUAUCCUUUGCUUCCUGAGCAUCAAGUGAAGCUUCGUUCCUGAUGCAAGUAGUUAGCAUAUUAUGAGCACGAAAAAACACAUCACUUGGGUUUGUAAGGCAGGAGAUCCUCAAGAAAAAAUGGCUGCAAAUCUCAGAAACCAGAGAAAUAUUAUAGUCACAAACCCUUACAGCUAGUUGUAACAGGACUGCUAUCAUACUGCAGGAAGUAGGGCAUCCACACUUCAAAAGUAAGUAACAUACUAAAGCAGCAUAUCACAUGCUACCACUCACCCCCCUUGCUAGCAGUCCUUUCUGAAAUAGCAGCCUUUGUAAAAUCAAGUACUGCCUUCUUCCAGCUGAAUCAAUGGGGAAAAAAAAUUCAGAAGGGUUUUUUUUGCCACCUAGUACCUCCCACUAGUACCAACACUUUGUGAGGAAAAAUGAGCUAUUUCUGAAAUUUGAACAAAAUUAUCUGCCCCCCAAGAGCAGACAUAGCAGAAUGCUGAAUGGGAACUGGCAGUGUCCAACCCCUUUAUAGGAGCACUGUACUUUUUGCCCAUUCUUGCUCAUCUGAAAACAAGUAUCCUC
Molecule: long non-coding RNA, 2151 nt
Organism: Strigops habroptila (Kakapo)
Lineage: Eukaryota; Metazoa; Chordata; Aves; Psittaciformes; Psittacidae
Source: Ensembl